Molecule: long non-coding RNA, 1532 nt
Filed under: Mytilus galloprovincialis (Mediterranean mussel)
Lineage: Eukaryota; Metazoa; Mollusca; Bivalvia; Mytilida; Mytilidae
Source: RNAcentral
CCUAGUUUUUAGCUCACCUGACCUGAAAGGUCAAGUGAGCUUUUCUCAUCACUUGGCGUCCGUCGUCCGUCGUCCGUCGUCUGUCGUCCGUCGUCCGUCGUCCGUCGUCCGUAAACUUUUACAAAAAUCUUCUCCUCUGAAACUACUGGGCCAAAUUCUACCAAACUUGGCCACAAUCAUCCUUGGGGUAUCUAGUUUAAAAAAAUGUGUGGCGUGACCCGUCAAACCAACCAAGAUGGCCGCCAUGGCUAAAAAUAGAACAUAGGGGUAAAAUGCAGUUUUUGGCUAAUAACUCAAAAACCAAAGCAUUUAGAGCAAAUCUGACAGGGUAAAAUGGUUGAUCAGGUCAAGAUCUAUCUGCCUUGAAAUUUUCAGACGAAUAGGACAACCUGUUGUUGGGUUGCUGCCUGUGAAAUGGUUAAUUUAAGGAAAUUUUGCAGUUUUUGGUUAUUAUCUUGAAUACUAUUAUAGAUAGAGAUAAACUGUAAACAGCAAUAAUGUUCAGCAAAGUAAGACCUACAAAUAAGUCAACAAGACCAAAAUUGUCAGUUGACCCCUUAAGGAGUUAUUGCCCUUUAUAGUCAAUUUUUAACAACUUUUCGUCAUUUUUUGUAACUUUUCUAAAAAUCUUCUUCUCCAAAACUACUUUGCCAAAUUUAACCAAACUUGGCCACAAUUAUCAUUGUGGUUUAUAGUUUAAAAAAUGUGUCCGAUGACCCAGCCUGCCAAACAAAAUGGCCGACAUGGCUAAAAUUAGAACAUAGUGGUAAAAUGCAGUUUUUGCUUUAUAUCUUUGAAACUAAGACAUUUAGGGCAAAUCUUUCAAGAUUUAAAUGUCCAUCAGAAUAAGAUAUAUCCCCUCACAAAUUUUGAGUUGAAUCGGACAACCUGUUGUUGGGUUGCUGCCCUAAAAUUGGUGAUUUUAAGGAAAUUUUGCAGUUUUUGGUUAUUAUCUUGAAUACUAUUAUAGAUAGAGAUAAACUGUAAACAGCAAUAAUGUUCAGCAAAGUAAGAUCUACAAAUAAGUCAGCAUGAUCAAAAUUGUUAGAGGACCCCUUAAGGAGUUAUUGCCCUUUAUAGUCAAUAUUGAACAACUUUUCGUCAUUUUUGUAACUUGUAUAAAAAUCUUUUCUUAAACGACUUGGCCAAAUUUAACCCAACUUGGCCACAAUCAUAAUACUAGGGUAUCUAUUUUUAAAAAAAGUGUCUAAUGACCCCGCCUACCGACGAAGAUGGCCGACAUCAGUAAACACAUUAACAGGUGAGCGAAACAGGCUCUUGAGAGCCUCUAGUUUUUUUAUACGAAACUGUUUAUAGCACCCAGAGCAUUUAGAGCAAAUCUGACAUGGGUUAGAAUUGUUUAACAGGUGAAGAUCUAUCUGCCCUGAAAUUUUCAGAUGAAUCGGAUAACCCAUUGUUGGGUUGCUGCCCCUGAAUUAGUAAUUUUAAGGAAAUUUUGCUGUUUUUGGUUAUUAUCUUGAAUAUUAUUAUAGAUAGAGAUAAACAGUAAGCAGCAAUAAUGUUCAGCAAAG